UGCUUAACACAUGCAAGUCGAACGCUGAAGCUUGGGUGCUUGCAUCUGGGUGGAUGAGUGGCGAACGGGUGAGUAAUACGUGAGUAACCUGCCCUUGACUCUGGGAUAAGCCUGGGAAACUGGGUCUAAUACUGGAUACUACACUCUCUCGCAUGGGGGUGUGUGGAAAGGGUUUUACUGGUUUUGGAUGGGCUCACGGCCUAUCAGCUUGUUGGUGGGGUAAUGGCCUACCAAGGCGACGACGGGUAGCCGGCCUGAGAGGGUGACCGGCCACACUGGGACUGAGACACGGCCCAGACUCCUACGGGAGGCAGCAGUGGGGAAUAUUGCACAAUGGGCGAAAGCCUGAUGCAGCGACGCCGCGUGAGGGAUGACGGCCUUCGGGUUGUAAACCUCUUUCAGCACGGAAGAAGCGAAAGUGACGGUACGUGCAGAAGAAGCGCCGGCUAACUACGUGCCAGCAGCCGCGGUAAUACGUAGGGCGCAAGCGUUGUCCGGAAUUAUUGGGCGUAAAGAGCUCGUAGGCGGUUUGUCGCGUCUGCUGUGAAAGCCCGGGGCUUAACCCCGUGGUGUGCAGUGGGUACGGGCAGACUAGAGUGCAGUAGGGGAGACUGGAAUUCCUGGUGUAGCGGUGAAAUGCGCAGAUAUCAGGAGGAACACCGAUGGCGAAGGCAGGUCUCUGGGCUGUUACUGACGCUGAGGAGCGAAAGCAUGGGGAGCGAACAGGAUUAGAUACCCUGGUAGUCCAUGCCGUAAACGUUGGGCACUAGGUGUGGGGGACAUUCCACGUUUUCCGCGCCGUAGCUAACGCAUUAAGUGCCCC
Molecule: ribosomal RNA, 823 nt
Filed under: Micrococcaceae bacterium ACEMC 22-7
Lineage: Bacteria; Bacillati; Actinomycetota; Actinomycetes; Micrococcales; Micrococcaceae
Description: bacterial SSU rRNA
Rfam family: Bacterial small subunit ribosomal RNA
Source: RNAcentral